GUCACGAAAUGGCGCUGCGUUGAUCUUUGAUUCAACAAGUUGAGAGCGAAACUCGUCUCAAAUGUUUUUUUUUUUGGUUAAGUAACCGCUGUGAAAUCCGCACUUCGAUCGAGAUUCUUUUCGAGAAUCGCAAUAUCGCUUUUCUGUAGACUUCAAGCAGAGAUUAGUCUGGGUUAGUCGGGAUAUAUCGCGGAGAUUGUAGAGUUCCAUUCAAACUGCUCCGAAUUGAUCGUGAUUCUUAGUGUUUAAACAAAUGCAUGCACAAAGUCAUCGCGAAUGUUUCUUGUAAAAUGUCGAAAGUUUGUAAUAACAUGUUAAAUAUCGCGUACAAUCACUAUUGUUGCGAUUUCGGAUACUCGAUUCAUUUUUGCGUGCUUCGGAUAUCGUCCGAAAUGCAUCGAAAAUGCUGAGAAUGCACAAUCAUGUUUAGGUGUGCAAGCAAAAAUGGAUUUCCAUGAAGCAGCGCAAAAUGGAGCAAGAGAGGAGUUGUCCAAUAAAUUCAAGUUAUCAACGGAUUUUCAACGUUUACAUCGUCGAUAAACUUUGUGCGCGUAAUCGGUGCUACGAAAUAUAUUCGUUGCGUCGUAAUAUAACAAAAUGCGCGUCGGGAGUGCCGUUAAUGCCGGGAAUGUCGUAAUAGUUUCGCGAGUACGAAACGUCGAACAGCGAAUCUAUAGAUGAACGCAUUUCUGUCGCAUGCUACGUCAAAUAUUUGGGACACGAUUUUUUCUCGAACUUUGGGCUUGGUUCGGCGGGAGGGAAGGAUCGGUUUUUAUCUUGGGAUCCCGAUCUGGGCCUUUUCUUCUUCGAGCUUAUGCCCUUUGUUUUGAGACAAUCGUGGCCCAAUUGAUAAGUGCGGUCGUCUGAAACGCGAACGGAAAUUCGCGCGUAAGGUCGCAUUUUGGACAAUUCGGUUCGAUUCGCUUGCGACGUCGGGAGUGCCGUUUAAAAGUGAGUCGCGCGAUUUUCGUACUCGGGCACGCGCGCGAGCAAAGCGUGCGCCGCGAACGCGUGUGAGUCAGUGUGAGUGCUUGUGCGUGUGUGUGUGAAGGACUACUGAGAGGAGCAGGAGGUCUAGGAAGCACUGGGCGACAGCAGAUCAACGAUACGAUCUUGAUCGUAAGCGAGAAAGGGCGCUUCGCUAUCAAGAGGUCCGGACAGCAAAGCAUUCCUUACAGCACGAACGUGUACUCUGUCUCGGGGAUGUGAUUGGUAGAUAGGUAAGUAGAUAGUUAGAUAGUUGGGUAGACGAGUAGGUGGAUUGUCUCUCGAUGCAACCGCACCGACGUAAGUGCACGUGUUACAUUAUUAUGCAUCGCAUGCGAAUGGAGCGACGGCCCGUUUCUCAGUUUGGUCCAAGACAGAUCCAAGAUGAUCUAUCCUAGGAAUAAGAAUUUAACCAGAAGAAAGGAAGGUGGCUACAUGUCGAGUACCUGUA
Non-coding RNA from Linepithema humile (Argentine ant), 1438 nucleotides. The record is from RefSeq and is a predicted model, not a curated record. Lineage: Eukaryota; Metazoa; Arthropoda; Insecta; Hymenoptera; Formicidae.